GCGGGUGUGGUGGAAUUGGCAGACACGCUAGACUUAGGAUCUAGUGCCGUAAGGCGUGGGGGUUCGACUCCCUUCACCCGCA
Molecule: transfer RNA, 82 nt
Filed under: Siminovitchia fortis
Lineage: Bacteria; Bacillati; Bacillota; Bacilli; Caryophanales; Bacillaceae
Also listed under: 5 other names
Description: tRNA-Leu
Rfam family: tRNA
About the family: Transfer RNA (tRNA) molecules are approximately 80 nucleotides in length.
Source: RNAcentral